This 253-nucleotide ribosomal RNA is filed under the name uncultured bacterium. RNAcentral describes it as "partial 16S ribosomal RNA". It matches the Rfam family "Bacterial small subunit ribosomal RNA", at positions 524 to 776 of the family's 1533-position model. The record is from RNAcentral.
GACAGAGGAGCCAAGCGUUGUCCGGACUGACUGGGCGUAAAGCGCACGCAGGCGGCGGGGCAAGUGGUGUGUGAAAGCGGACGGCUUAACUGUCCGAGGCCAUGCCAGACUGCCCGGCUCGAGCCAUGCAGAGGGUGGUGGAAUUGCCGGUGUAGUGGUGAAAUGCGUAGAGAUCGGCAGGAACACCGAGGGGGAAGCCAGCCACCUGGGCAUGCGCUGACGCUGAGGUGCGACAGCGUGGGGAGCGAACCGG